RNAcentral lists this long non-coding RNA (232 nucleotides) under Setaria italica (foxtail millet). RNAcentral's name for it is "long non-coding RNA (SITA_LNC001760)". The record is from RNAcentral. Lineage: Eukaryota; Viridiplantae; Streptophyta; Magnoliopsida; Poales; Poaceae.
AAAAAACAGGUUGCAAUUCAUCACCCGACUUCCUUCUCUAUAAUAGUAUCAGCUUUGGAACACACUAGCUACACAGACCGCGAGAGCUAGUUGCUGCUGCCAGUACGUGCAAAGCUGGAACCCAACAGAUCGAAAAAAGGAUUAAGUGAGCUAAUAAAUGGCAGCAGGUUUGUGGAGGGGGGGCGAAAGUGAUAGGCCAUAUGCUCGUAUUGAAGGGCAUGGCGAAUUGAUC